This 186-nucleotide ribosomal RNA is filed under the name uncultured Streptococcus sp. Its description in RNAcentral is "partial 16S ribosomal RNA". It matches the Rfam family "Bacterial small subunit ribosomal RNA", at positions 1197 to 1382 of the family's 1533-position model. The record is from RNAcentral. Lineage: Bacteria; Bacillati; Bacillota; Bacilli; Lactobacillales; Streptococcaceae.
UGCCCUUAUGACCUGGGCUACACACGUGCUACAAUGGUUGGUACAACGAGUUGCGAGUCGGUGACGGCGAGCUAAUCUCUUAAAGCCAAUCUCAGUUCGGAUUGUAGGCUGCAACUCGCCUACAUGAAGUCGGAAUCGCUAGUAAUCGCGGAUCAGCACGCCGCGGUGAAUACGUUCCCGGGCCUU